UCGGGGUCGCUUGUGUUUUCGUGUGGGGUGCAGGGUGUUGCGUGAGCGCUGCCUUGUGUGGUAGACGAGAGAGGCGGGUGAGUGUUGGUGAAGGGGUGUGAGUGGGCCUGUGUUAAAGAAGGUUGUGCUUGGAAGGGAAGAGAGCGCUUAGGGGUUGUGUGUUAUCGCUUCUCGGCCUUUUGGCUAAGAUCAAGUGUAGUAUCUGUUCUUAUCAGUUUAAUAUCUGAUACGUCCUCUAUCCGAGGACAAUAUAUUAAAUGGAUUUUUGGAACAGGGAGAUGGAAUAGGAGCUUGCUCCGUCCACUCCACGCAUCGACCUGGUAUUGCAGUACUUCCGGGAACGGUGCACCUCCCUUUGGGAGACAACUAUUUGUAUAAAUAGCAGUACUGAAUGUUGGGGUGGCAUCGGUGUUGCGAGGGUGGUGAUCGAUGCUAUCAGAAGUUCUAGAAGUCUUAACUUACUGACAUUAGACACAUUUCUCAAUAAUCCAAAAUAAAGUAAGAUGCCACAAUUCAA
Molecule: long non-coding RNA, 517 nt
Organism: Monodelphis domestica (gray short-tailed opossum)
Lineage: Eukaryota; Metazoa; Chordata; Mammalia; Didelphimorphia; Didelphidae
Source: RefSeq, a predicted model, not a curated record